ACUGUUAAAAAUUUACCGACACAUCAGAAAAAACAUCCAGAUACAUCCAUAAUCACAUCACAGAGAUCUAGCCGAUUCUCAUGUUCUAUGUAAAAAUUUAAAGAUCGUUACGGUUCGAUCGAAUUUUUCGGAUUUUUUCUAUGAUUAGAUCAUUCUCAUUUUGUCAUUUUACAUGUGCUACGAUUUGUUGUUUUAUUACAACAAUAUUGCCAAGCAAAAUGCGAGAUAAUGUAUUUUAUAAUUCCUAAAAAUUUAAUCGAGAUCCGAGACGGAUCAGUUGCAUUUUUUUGUAUUAUUGGUUAUGGAUGUAAAUUU
Molecule: long non-coding RNA, 315 nt
Filed under: Ananas comosus (pineapple)
Lineage: Eukaryota; Viridiplantae; Streptophyta; Magnoliopsida; Poales; Bromeliaceae
Description: long non-coding RNA (ACOM_LNC020502)
Source: RNAcentral